This 2070-nucleotide long non-coding RNA is filed under the name Anas platyrhynchos platyrhynchos (common mallard). RNAcentral's name for it is "lncRNA (ENSAPLG00000017925.1)". Lineage: Eukaryota; Metazoa; Chordata; Aves; Anseriformes; Anatidae. The record is from RNAcentral.
CCGCAGCCCCCCCACUCCCAGGCCGUGCCCUCGGUGCCCGGCCCCGCCGUGGGCGAGGGGGGGGCCCUGCUGCGGGUCAGCUCGCAGCCGCACUGCAGCAGCUCGCCCAUGCUGCAGGCCUGCGUGAUGGCGUGGCUGACGCCGGCCGCCGUGAUGGCAUACACGAAGGCUGUCUCUCGGAUAUCUGCAGGGGAACAGCAGGGCCGGGAUGUGGGGUCAGCUCUGGGUAAGGCUCCGCAAGCAAAGCACCCCCUCGCCUGCGCCCGUGGGUGCUCGGAUCCCCCCCGUACCCACUUUGCCACGGGGCGAUGCCUGCUCCCCCCCCCUUUCCCUGCACCGGCGCAGCCUCCACCCUGCAGGAUUAUUUAUUAUUAGUAUUUGCUCCUGUCUCUCUCUGCUCCGGGACACAAAUUCCAAGCAUCCUUCCCCUGCCCGGACCUGCCGCUCGCAGCCGCAGCCAGCGGGGGAUUCUGGCAGCGGGGGCGCGGCGCCCUGCUCGGGGGGAUCCCACACACCCCCCACCCUGUGCCAGGCGGGCCCCUGGGUGCCAGGGGUGCGGGGGCUCUGUCCCCAAGCCGGGCGCACCCCUAAAGGGUUUUGGGACCCCGUCGCCCACCUCGCGCCCACCCCCGGGCUGCCCUUACUCACCACCAGAGCCCGAUGAUGUUGGCGGGGCAGAGGAGGAUGAAGAAGAGCCCCAGCUGGGUCCGGGAGGGGGGCAACAUCCUGCCGGGGGCGGGGGGGCAGCGAGGAGAGCCGAGCCCCCCUCCGAGCCCCCCCGAGGAAGGCGGAGGGGCUGGCCGGGGCCCCGCGGCUGGGUGCCCGCUGCCUCCCUCCGCCAGCCCGGGGCCGGAGGGGCCGGGCCGUGCCGGGCCGGGCCGGGCCGGGCUGGGCUGGGCCGGGCAGGCACCUCCGGGCGGCUGGAGCGCGGCGCGGAGGCUGCUCCGCAGAAGGAGGAGGAGGGACAGGGCUGCGAAAGCAUCUGCCUCCGACAGGGAAACCGGAGCCCGGGGGGACGGACAGGGCGGGCCGGGCGGGGGGACUCCGGGAUGCCAAGCGCUGCGCCCUGAGCGCGCAGCCACGGCCACGGGCACGGCUCCGGGCACGGCUCCGGGCAUCCCCCGGCCACCGGGCAGCGCCCACGGCUCGCCCGGCCCCUCCGCCUUGCUUGGCACGGCCCUGCCUCACCGUGUCCCCCCCCCGCCACCUGCCCACCUGCACGGCCCCGGGGGUCCCUUGGCCGAGCCUGGCAUCCCCGCACCACUUGGUGUCCUUAUUAAGGGCUCUGCCCCGCUCCCCGGCACCGCACCAGGCUGUCCCAGCGGGGGACGCUGCAGAAGGGACACCCCCAAGCAUCUCUCGGCACCCCCCCCCUCCUCACAGGCAGGUGGGUGAGGAGCGAGCAGAGCGGGGAAGGAGACAGAAGGAGAGGGUGCCCGCAGGCUGCCACCCCAAUUUUCACCCCUCCUGAGCUUCCCUAGCCCCAGCAUCCUCCCUGCUGGUGAGCCCACCCCUAGCUCCUUGCCACCAGUGCUCCCCAGCAUCCUCCUCCCCAUCACCUGGCCACGUUGGCUCCCACCGGCAGCAUUUGGUGGCGAAUGACUCAGGUUUUCUCUGCGGCUUGGCACGGUUCUCCUCUCCCCGUGGGUGCGGGAGGGAAGGGACUCCCACCACCUCCCACCCACCUGCUCCUACCCUGCCCUCCCACGCGGGCACCGGCCUCCAGCUCGGCAUCCGUGGCGCUGCCACCAGCCUCGAGCUGCCCUCACCCUGCCAUGGGGACACGGGGACCUUCCCCGAGCUGCACCGGGGCUGCUGCACCAUCCCUGGGGGCUUCUGCUUUCACCCCGCAGCCUCCAUCCCCCCUGCCCCGUGGCUCCCCCACCGCCUUGGGUACAGGGGGCAGUCGGCACCAGGCAGCUCCUGGGCAGGGGACAUCCCAGCCGGGGCUGGGGACAGGGUGCCACCGUGCCCGCAGCACGCAGCUCAUCCGCCGGCGUGUUGAAAGUGCCUGUUGUCCCCCCGCCCCGAGCACCGUGGCCGCCUCCGUCUGCGGGGCAGGUGAGAAGC